Long non-coding RNA from Mus musculus (house mouse), 288 nucleotides. RefSeq annotates it as predicted gene, 46921. The transcript has 2 exons. NCBI's taxonomy places the organism in Eukaryota, Metazoa, Chordata, Mammalia, Rodentia, Muridae. The record is from RefSeq and is a predicted model, not a curated record.
CAGAUGAAGAUGUAGAACUCUCAGCUCCUCCUGCACCGUGCCUGCCUUGAUGCUGCCAUGAUAAUGGCCUCAACCACUGAACCUGAAGGAAGGAAAGAAGGAACGAAGGAAGGAAGGAAGGAAGAGAGGAAAAGAAAAAUACAAAGAGCCUGGCAAAUCCUCCCUGGGCCAAGUUCAACCAGAAGCAGUUUGAAUUUUGCUGCUUUGUUUUUGUAUAGCCAGAGACUUAAGAAUGUUUUUCUUUUGAGCAUUCUUAAAAGACCGUUAAAAUAAAUAAACUAAAAAGAA